This 438-nucleotide unclassified non-coding RNA is filed under the name uncultured Bordetella sp. Its description in RNAcentral is "partial 16S-23S ribosomal RNA intergenic spacer". It matches the Rfam family "Bacterial small subunit ribosomal RNA", at positions 340 to 794 of the family's 1533-position model. Lineage: Bacteria; Pseudomonadati; Pseudomonadota; Betaproteobacteria; Burkholderiales; Alcaligenaceae. The record is from RNAcentral.
UACGGACGCAGCAGUGGGGAAUUUGGACAAUGGGAAACCCUGAUCCAGCCAUCCUGCGUGUGCAUGAAGGCCUCGGGUUGUAAAGCACUUUACAGAAAGAAACGGUACAGGACAAUACCCUGCGCAACUGACGGUACCUGCAGAAUAAGCACCGGCUAACUACGUGCCAGCAGCCGCGGUAAUACGUAGGGUAAGCGUUAAUCGGAAUUACCAUGCAAAAGCGUGCGUAUGGUUCGGAAAGAAGGAUGAAAUCCCAGAGCUUAACUUUUGGAACUGCAUUUAACUGCCGAGCUAGAGUGUGUCAGAGGGAGGUGGAAUUCCGCGUGUAGCAGUGGAAAUGCGUAGAUAUGCGGAGGAACACCGAUGGCGAAGGCAGCCUCCUGAUAACACUGACGCUCAUACGAGCGUGGGGAGCAAACAGGAUUAGAUACCCGCAGU